This is a long non-coding RNA of Calidris pugnax (ruff), 860 nucleotides long. RefSeq lists it as uncharacterized. The transcript has 3 exons. The record is from RefSeq and is a predicted model, not a curated record. NCBI's taxonomy places the organism in Eukaryota, Metazoa, Chordata, Aves, Charadriiformes, Scolopacidae.
GUGUAAUUGUUGCUUACAAGAUCUGAGCACGUUACACAAACUGCCACAGGCCCUUUAAAGCCUGUCUAACCUUUAUUGUAACAACUGCUCUGUGUUAUUUAAAUCAUGGGGGAAAAAAUCUCUAUUUAUAUACCUCGGUAGGAUGAUCUCAUAACCCAAUGAACUCCCCUUUGGGGUUACUUCCAAGUCUUUUCUUUUUUAUAAGAAUGAUUUUUCAAAAGCAGUAGUUAAUUGGACGUCAACCUGCUUAUUUUUAGCAGUUGAUCUCUUUGUUUCCCAACAGUUGAUGUUUUUAGGUAAAUACAGAGACCUCACUGCUUGUUUUUCUCCUGGCAAAGCUGCACCAAAGACACCAGAACAUCACAAUCAACUCCCCUCCCGUGCCCGGUCCUGCCUGACGUGAGUUUGGUUGCAAGACCUGGAGUGAAAAUAACUCACCUGCCAGAAGCAAGAUCCCUGAAGCAGAAACAUCCUGGUCCGUAAGAGCUUCCAGGAUGGGGCGGUUUCGCAACGACACUUAAAGAGGGAGCAGAAGGUGCCAACCAAAUUCAGGAGGGAACAUCAAGAAGUGGAUGUUCUGACCCAGAGCAAGGCCGUCACGGUCCAGAAGAACGAAGAGCAAACCUGAUGAAGGUCACGCUGGUUUACCUGUUGUCCUGCUGCUCCCUGAAGGGUUAACAAGGACCUGCAAAGAUGCUGGUGUCAUUUGGAACUCGGCACGUUGGACCCCAACUUGGCUGCUCUCAGAAUGCCACACUGACAAGAGACACCACGAGGAGGAGGAGGGUGACAGCUUUUUAUUGAAUGAGCCGGUAUCAGUGGGGAGAAACAGAGAUUUGCUGCUGUCUGCUGCCAUCGCA